Oncorhynchus gorbuscha (pink salmon) is the source of this 2241-nucleotide long non-coding RNA. RefSeq lists it as uncharacterized. The transcript has 5 exons. NCBI's taxonomy places the organism in Eukaryota, Metazoa, Chordata, Actinopteri, Salmoniformes, Salmonidae. The record is from RefSeq and is a predicted model, not a curated record.
GUUUUCCCAAUGAAGUUAACCCCAAACCACACCCGUUAUUCAGAGGGAUGUUCUACUACGCACCCAUUGGCUAGCUAGCGUUGUCUCACUCACAGGCAAUCAGCGCAGACAGUGACCUUCCAAGCUGUUCCUGCACACAUCAUUUUUUCUUGAGGCAAUGCGAAGUUUGGUAGCCGAAGUCAACGCCCCUUCGUUGGUGAUUGGUCAACAGUACUCCUCCUAUGUGACGCUGGCAGUAGCCUAAACUAUGGGGACAUCUAGUGGUAUCUUUUUCCCUGCAAAAAAGAAGUGGCCAUUUGGCCCCAAAAAAUCCAACGAGGAACAUCUCUGAUACUGUCCUUGGAAUCUCUCAAAUCUGGAGUCCCUGGCUCCUACCAACUCGCUCUGACAGUAAUGUGCUGGUGCAGACUUGCUGUGCGCUUGUAAACCUCCAAGAGCCACUCAUCAGGGAAGUAGCUGUUGAUUGGGAAUCAAGAACAAACAAUGAGGCAUGAGAAUUGGGUGUUGAGGGGCCACAUUGUCCAAGUCCAACAGGAGUGCAUCCCUCAGACCAUCCGGAUCAUGGACAUCCUGUGACAGUGUGAUCCAGUUGUGGAGACAACUGCACAUCGAGCCUAUGGACAAACAGCUCAGUAACUCAUCAAAUAUGAUACAAUAAUGUAGAUGCAUCAACAUUUUGACUUUAUGCCCCCUUUUCCCCGUUGUCUCUCCCAUCCUGCAUUUACCAGAAAAAAGAAGCUCCACACAACAAAGGGGCUAUGAAAUAAUUUAAACAUGACAGGUUCCUUCCUUUUUCUCAUCUUAUUCAACUGUUACCAUGCACCUGCAAAAAAGAUAGCACAGAUGUGCGAGUGCCUUUUUGAAUUUUAAACUUUACAUAAUAUAAAUUCCCACUGUGCCCAUGAUAAAAUGCAAUUAACAAAAAUGUGAGGAUAUGCUACAUUACUGUUUGUGUAUGAACUAUGUGGAAUAUUUUUGGACUAUUGGUUUCCAUGAAAAUAGGUACUGACAGAAGGCGCAAUAAGAACACUGAUCCAUUUACCCCCCCCCUGCCAGAGGUUGUCAGGCUGGAUAGGUAUGGUGAUGGAGGCUUUGGUGGUCCACACAACGAAGAAGCAAGUGUGCCGUCCAGUGAUGUGGAGCUGCCCUUAGACCUGGUGCCAGUAAGGAUGGUCUUUACAGAAGCUGUAAGACCCUCCCUCCUCCUGGAUAUAGAAAUAUUUUGACCUCACUGCCUCUUCAAUGGUAAAAUCCCAUGCAUCAUAUGGACACUUGACCACCACUGCUCUGGUGCGCUCCAGACCAUCCGGUGAUGCCACCAGGGUCCCAGACCCUGUGACCCAAGGCCCUGACUCCUGCACAUCAAUCCCUGUAGCCAUUGAUGUCCUCCUAUUCGUUAUCUGUGCCCCACUUUACAGACAACACCCCGUCUAGCAACUGAUCUGAGGACCCUUUUUGGCACGCUUGGACCUAACCACUGCUCCAAAUUUGCUGGCCGUCAACCUCCCCCUCCUCAUGGUGUGCAUGUUGGGGUUGGUGUGCUGUCCAGCUAUUGCCUGCCGUAUAGCUUCCUGCUGCACCACCGAUAGUGCCAUGCCAGGAGGAUGUCUGCAUGCCCCAGGUGCCAUUGUUUUUUAACAAUGUCCGGUACAGACAGGAAGGGUAGCGGUUGUUCUUGCUCAGGUUCAAGGGGACAUGCCAUUCCACUGAAACUGCCCCAGAGACGGUUCCUUAGACACUGAAGAUAUUUCUCUGUGGGCUCUCAGGGCUGAGGGUUGUAGUCUUGGGCCGGAUACAUGUCCUCCACUGGCUCCACCUGGUUGGGCACGGCUGGCUUCCUCCACACGCAUUCCACAUCCGUUCAGCCGAUAUUGUGAACUGCAAAAAUAGCCAAUGCAUGGCUACACUUAUGAGUUCCACGGGGGCAUUUGCAUGUGGUAGAGAGAAUCCCCUGGUCACCUGUAGAGACCUGCCAAGAGGAAGGAUGUUAAGGGCCACUUUCAAUGCAUUUCAAUGCUGCCUUUCAAUGCAUGACUUUGAACACCUUGAAAUGCAUUUGUUGUAAGAAAUGUGCUAUAUAAAUGAACCCAGGAUCCCAGAACCCGCGACCCAAAAUCCUGACUCCUGCACAUCCAUCGCUGUAGCCAUUUUGAAUGCCUUGAUGCCCUCCUCUUCGUUAUCUGUUCCCCAUUUACAAACACCCCAUCCAACAACUGAACACCUUGAAAUGCAUUUGUUGUA